CUUAAGGACAGGAAAGUGUAAAAGUUAACAGUACAGGGUGCGUUUUCAUUAAUUCCCUACUAUCAUUCACUAUUUUAAAAGCAGGUGGGGAUGCAAUAAAAUUCGCCCCAAUGAACACCAAAUCGUUCCGUAGUUUCUCUGACUGCUGAACAAAAUGUUAUCCGAUUAUAAAUGCUCCCGACUCAAGAGCGAAAUGAGCGACACACAUCGGUCAAGAGCUGCACUCACUUGGAGUAUCCAGUACUCAACUCCAGACUCAGGGCAAUUUACAGUGGUGAAUUAGCCCAAUGACUGGCACAUCAUUAGGAUAUGAGAGGAAACCUGAGCGCUGGAGGUGUGGGGGAGGGGCAUGGAGCCUAUGCGGUUACAAGGAGAAUGUACAUAAGAAAGCACUGGAGGUCAGGUAUGAAUGUGCAUGCCUACAACUCUGAGGCAGUGACUCUACUAAAACUGGUGUCACUCUGGCACCCUCCUCCUCCUCCGCAGGAACUGGAAAUCUGUAGCCGAUGGCUGAAUUUCUCCGAGCAACACAUACAAAAUGCUAGAGGAACUCAGAAGGUCAAGCAGCGUCUAUGGAAAGGAAUAAGCAGUCAAUGUUCCAAGCCAAGACCCUUCAUACGGACUCUGUUAUUUUCACCCAUGUUGAAUUUGUCCAGUUCCAUUAAUGCUUUCCAACCAUUCUGCUAUCACAUCUUUCAUGACAUUUUCCAGCAUUUUCCACACCACCAAUUCCCAGUGUUUCUCUUCCUCCUUUUUUAAAUAAUGGUAUUUACAUCUGACAUCGUCCAAGCUUACUAAAUUGAAAGAAUUCUAAAGGAUGACCAUCAAAACAUUCAUGAUUUCUAGGGUCACUUCCUGUUGUACCUUGAGAUUUAAAUUAUCCAUCUGAGAGAUUUAAUAGCCUUCCACUCCAGUAAUUUCACAAUCACUAUCCUUGCCAAUAAUAAUUUAUUUCAUUACAUGAUCUUUAUAAAUCCUUGGUUCUGUAAUACACUGGGGUAUUAUUUUUAUCCCAUUUACAAAGAAAGCUCAACAGAGGAUAUAUUUCAUUAGGAAUCAGAGAAUUGGAGUGUCACCUAAGAGACUCACACAUUUCUACAGAUGUACCAUGGAGCGCAUUCCAGCUGGUUUCAGCACCGUCUGGUAUGGAGGGGCCAAUGCAAAUGGUCAGAAAAAGAUGCAGGAAGUUGUAAACUCAGCCAGCUCCAAAAGGCGAUGCCCAAAAAAGGUAGCAUCCAUCAAUAAGGACCCUCAUCACCCAGGACAUGCCUCCUGUCAUUGCUACCAUCAUAGAGGAAGUACAGGAGCCCAAAAACACAGUCAAAGUUUCAGGAACUGCUUCUUCCCCUCUGCCAUCACAUUUCUUAAUGGACGAUGAGCCCAUGAGCCUCAGUAUUUUCCCUCUCUUUUUGCACAAAUUAUUAAAUGUAUUUUAUAUAUAUUGUCAUUUAUACUUUUUAUUAAUUUGUAUUGCAAUGUACUGCUGGUGCAAAAAAUCAAUUUUCACAACAUG
This is a long non-coding RNA of Hypanus sabinus (Atlantic stingray), 1513 nucleotides long. RefSeq lists it as uncharacterized. The transcript has 3 exons. The record is from RefSeq and is a predicted model, not a curated record. NCBI's taxonomy places the organism in Eukaryota, Metazoa, Chordata, Chondrichthyes, Myliobatiformes, Dasyatidae.